AGGAUAAUAGUUAAUAAAAUAACGUUUAAGUUGCAUUUAAAAAUAAUCAAUUUUUGAUUUAUCUUA
RNAcentral lists this transfer RNA (66 nucleotides) under Cionus olens. Its description in RNAcentral is "tRNA-Ala". The record is from RNAcentral. Lineage: Eukaryota; Metazoa; Arthropoda; Insecta; Coleoptera; Curculionidae.